AAGAUUAAUACUCUUGGGGAUUGACGUUACCUACAGAAGAAGCACCGGCUAACUCCGUGCCAGCAGCCGCGGUAAUACGGAGGGUGCAAGCGUUAAUCGGAAUUACUGGGCGUAAAGCGCGCGUAGGCGGUUAGUUAAGCUGGAUGUGAAAGCCCUGGGCUCAACCUGGGAACUGCAUUCAGAACUGGCUGGCUAGAGUACGAGAGAG
This 208-nucleotide ribosomal RNA is filed under the name uncultured bacterium. RNAcentral describes it as "partial 16S ribosomal RNA". It matches the Rfam family "Bacterial small subunit ribosomal RNA", at positions 445 to 656 of the family's 1533-position model. The record is from RNAcentral.